RNAcentral lists this ribosomal RNA (1392 nucleotides) under Streptococcus thermophilus. RNAcentral's name for it is "bacterial SSU rRNA". It matches the Rfam family "Bacterial small subunit ribosomal RNA", at positions 61 to 1437 of the family's 1533-position model. Lineage: Bacteria; Bacillati; Bacillota; Bacilli; Lactobacillales; Streptococcaceae. The record is from RNAcentral.
GUAGAACGCUGAAGAGAGGAGCUUGCUCUUCUUGGAUGAGUUGCGAACGGGUGAGUAACGCGUAGGUAACCUGCCUUGUAGCGGGGGAUAACUAUUGGAAACGAUAGCUAAUACCGCAUAACAAUGGAUGACACAUGUCAUUUAUUUGAAAGGGGCAAUUGCUCCACUACAAGAUGGACCUGCGUUGUAUUAGCUAGUAGGUGAGGUAAUGGCUCACCUAGGCGACGAUACAUAGCCGACCUGAGAGGGUGAUCGGCCACACUGGGACUGAGACACGGCCCAGACUCCUACGGGAGGCAGCAGUAGGGAAUCUUCGGCAAUGGGGGCAACCCUGACCGAGCAACGCCGCGUGAGUGAAGAAGGUUUUCGGAUCGUAAAGCUCUGUUGUAAGUCAAGAACGGGUGUGAGAGUGGAAAGUUCACACUGUGACGGUAGCUUACCAGAAAGGGACGGCUAACUACGUGCCAGCAGCCGCGGUAAUACGUAGGUCCCGAGCGUUGUCCGGAUUUAUUGGGCGUAAAGCGAGCGCAGGCGGUUUGAUAAGUCUGAAGUUAAAGGCUGUGGCUCAACCAUAGUUCGCUUUGGAAACUGUCAAACUUGAGUGCAGAAGGGGAGAGUGGAAUUCCAUGUGUAGCGGUGAAAUGCGUAGAUAUAUGGAGGAACACCGGUGGCGAAAGCGGCUCUCUGGUCUGUAACUGACGCUGAGGCUCGAAAGCGUGGGGAGCGAACAGGAUUAGAUACCCUGGUAGUCCACGCCGUAAACGAUGAGUGCUAGGUGUUGGAUCCUUUCCGGGAUUCAGUGCCGCAGCUAACGCAUUAAGCACUCCGCCUGGGGAGUACGACCGCAAGGUUGAAACUCAAAGGAAUUGACGGGGGCCCGCACAAGCGGUGGAGCAUGUGGUUUAAUUCGAAGCAACGCGAAGAACCUUACCAGGUCUUGACAUCCCGAUGCUAUUUCUAGAGAUAGAAAGUUACUUCGGUACAUCGGUGACAGGUGGUGCAUGGUUGUCGUCAGCUCGUGUCGUGAGAUGUUGGGUUAAGUCCCGCAACGAGCGCAACCCCUAUUGUUAGUUGCCAUCAUUCAGUUGGGCACUCUAGCGAGACUGCCGGUAAUAAACCGGAGGAAGGUGGGGAUGACGUCAAAUCAUCAUGCCCCUUAUGACCUGGGCUACACACGUGCUACAAUGGUUGGUACAACGAGUUGCGAGUCGGUGACGGCGAGCUAAUCUCUUAAAGCCAAUCUCAGUUCGGAUUGUAGGCUGCAACUCGCCUACAUGAAGUCGGAAUCGCUAGUAAUCGCGGAUCAGCACGCCGCGGUGAAUACGUUCCCGGGCCUUGUACACACCGCCCGUCACACCACGAGAGUUUGUAACACCCGAAGUCGGUGAGGUA